RNAcentral lists this long non-coding RNA (6894 nucleotides) under Canis lupus familiaris (dog). Its description in RNAcentral is "lncRNA (ENSCAFG00000055978.1)". Lineage: Eukaryota; Metazoa; Chordata; Mammalia; Carnivora; Canidae. The record is from RNAcentral.
UUUUUUUGUUUUUUUUUUUUUUUACAUUUUUAUUUAUUUAUGAUAGUCACAGAGAGAGAGAGAGAGAGAAAGAGGCAGAGACACAGGCAGAGGGAGAAGCAGGCUCCAUGCACCAGGAGCCCAACAUGGGAUUCGAUCCCGGGUCUCCAGGAUCGUGCCCUGGGCCAAAGGCAGGCGCUAAACCGCUGCGCCACCCAGGGAUCCCAAAAAGUCAGUUCUUUAAACAAGUAAACAUCUUCCUCAAUCUUAGUUAUACAGUCUAGUAAGCCCUUUCUCCAUAAAUGUACAGUUUAGUUUAGCUCUUACUAAAUUAUCAAAAAUACUGAAUUAGUGAGCUCAAGGAAUUAUAAAGCAAGUGUGCAAAAAUGCUGUAUGUUUUACCUUUUAUUUUCUUGUUCAUUCACUAGUACUUUCUACAACAAAGUACUAUGCUAAGUCCCUACCCUCUAAAGACACACAGUUAAGCUAAAAAAUAUUACAGAAGUGGUAAGUGCUAAAAUAAGCAAUAAAUAAGUAAACAAAAAUGAUCAAUACAAAAGGUGACAUUUGAACUAAAUCUUAGAAACUGAACAGGAGUUCAUUCAAUUGACAAUGGGCCAGAUCUCAUUUCUAUCAAGACCGUUGUAUACAGAGGAGAAGACACAAGACAUGCUGCUGUGUCCUGGUAGUAGUUGGCAGAGCUGGAGCACGGUAAAUGUGGGAAAAACUAGAGGUGAAGCUUGUACAGAAUAGGUCGACAUGGGUAGAUCAUAAAAAGCCUUACACACUAGGAUAUCAAUAAACUUCAUAGGAUAUCUACUAUGAAGUAGGAGAGUAAUAUAUGUAGAGAAAGUAUUUCUAAACAUCAUAUAAAGUGCGGAAUGAAUACUUAAAGGAUUCUUCAUUGAUAAAAGGCAGUGCCUAUGGAGGUAGGGUAAGGAACAAUGGUAUGGGAAAACACAAGAAAUGUCACAGACACAGUAGCAACAAUCCGGGACUGGGAUGUCUUUUAGGGUCAGAGGAAAUGGAUGAAGGCGACUGAGAUUUCCAGCCUGAGUGAUGAAUGAGAGCCCCAUUAACUAAGUUAGGAAAUAUAGUAAAGGAAUAAGGAUUAAUGGGAAAGAUAAAAAAGAAAGAUGAAUUUGGUGAAAUAAAAGAGCCAGGAGAAAACAUUAAAGCAAAGUGCAGACCCAGGACUUAGGUUCAGAAAAGGAAAAAGCAGAUGAAUAUACCUAAAUAACACAUCUAAAACAAGAAGUAAUAUACCAAAUAAGAAGGAGGUAUCUUCAAUUUCAUUGACAAUGAGGUUCUAUCUUCUAAGUAAUAAAAACUCUAAGUGUAGCUGCAAAACUUUUUUUUUUAAAAACCAUGUUUAGCCAUUGAAAAGAUUUUUCGAAGUUUAAAGUAUGCAUGGUGUUUAAAAAAAGAAGACACUAAAAAGAAUAUACAAUAGAAGUAAAUGUGCCACCAUUGGGCCCCAGGUGACCUACCCAAAAUCAAUCAUACUUACCAAUUUCUUGAAUGUCUUUGCAAAGAUAUGCAAUAUAUGUAUAAGCCUAUAGAUGUAUAUAUUUUAUGCAUGCUCCUUUAAGUAGUCAAUGGAAAAUAAAUAAUUUUCAAGAAGAUAACAUUUUGUAUCUACUCAUGAGUAAUUUAUAAUUUUAAUUUGCCAAAAAAUUUAAUAGUAAUAAAGAUUAAAACCAAAACACCACUUAUUUCUCUUCCCAUACACUGACCUUUAGGGAAUUCUUUGGAUAACAGGUUCUGAAAGUAUGAGCACAAUAAGGUCCAUUCUUCUGAUGAGCCAUUCUUCUGAUGAUAUUUUACUCAAGACUUGAAAUCGGAACACCUGGGUGCCGCAGUGGUUGAGUGUCUGCCUUCAGCCCAAGGCAUGAUCCUGGAGACCCAGGAUCGAGUACCACAUCAGGCUCCUUGCAUGGAGCCUGCUUCUCCCUCUGCCUGUGUCUCUGCCUCUCUCUCUCUCUCUCUCUCUCUCUCAUGAAUAAAUAAAUAAAAUCUUUUUAAAAAAAUAAAAAAAUAAAAAAAAAGUGAACAAAUCAAACUCCCCAGAAGUGGCAUAUCUAAGAAUGUCUCAUAGGGUCUCUAAACCAGGAUGACAUGGAAGAGUUCAGGCCUGUGUUGUCCAACAUGGCAGCCACCAGCCACAUGUGGCUAUUGAAACUUAAACUCAUAUUAAUUUAAUUAAAUAAAAAACAAUUUCUCAGCUGUACCAGCCAUAUCUGAAGUACUCAACAGCCAUAUGCAGCUAGUGAAUACCAUAUUAAGAACCAAACGUCACAGAAGGAUAUAUUAGACAGUGCUGGCUUGGGCUAAAUGAAUCUCUGAAACUGCAUAUUAUAUUUGUGAAUAGACAUAUAUUCUAGGAAGAUGGUCUAUGAUUUUUAUUUGAUUCUCAAAGGAGACCAUCUAUGAUUCAGUUGCCAGUGCCAGAGCCUACAGUAGAUAGGAAAAAGCUCUUUUUUCAAAGAGUUAUCUCUUAUAAGAAGGAUAUAUUAACAGUAGCACUUCCCACCCACAGAUAUAGCCUUUCAACCAUCACAUUAAGACAAGUGGAACUGUGACUAGUACAAAAUGUUCUUCUACUUCCAUAAUGUUGUCAGGAGCCUAGGGCUUUACUGCUUGUUAAGAGCAAAACUAAUUGUAAACUACAACCAAAAAUAUAUACCUCUUCUGAUUCACCACCUCCAAGCUUGUGGUAUAUCUAAGAAUCUUUGCCUCCCUUUCAACCCCAAAUCCUUACUUUUGUAGCAAUGGGAAUCAUAACCAAAUAUUAAGUAGUAUUUCCAUAAGUAACGGAAACAUUGUUUAUGGAAAGCUAAUUCUGCAUCUCAUAGACAAACCAAACAGAAACAACAGUCUUCCAACAGCAACUGUAGAAUCCUGUUCCCCAGACUAAUUCCAAGGACAUAGAUAUAAACCUAAGAUUUAAUGCCUAACUCGUCAUCAGGAACUUACACAAAAUACAAAGACCCAAGGAUCUCCUGAGUGAGCUCCCAUUAUAAACAGUUUGGGUCUGGUAUUGAAAAAAUGAACAAACACUUCUAAACAGACUGCAUAUCAUGAUGUGAUGGCUGCCUAUUCAGUUACACUCAAUUUCUAGGAUAAAAUCCACUGUUCGAUUGAUUUAAAAACCUAUCAGUUCUCACUGUGAUUCACUGAUCCUAAUACAUCCCUGAAAAAAAUCUAAAUAUCUUAAGAUAGUAUCUUAAGUGACUCAAAUAAAAAUGACUGAAAGAAGGGAAUGAUCCACCUACACCAAAAGACCUCAUAUGAAUAUGAAUAAAAGUAGAAGUCAAAACAGAUCCUCAAUGUAAGACAAGACCAAAGCUUAUCCUACAGCAUAAAUUAUGUAGGCCUGAUGUGUGAACUAUAAGGUCUGAGUUUAUCAACAUUCCACAGUCAAAUAUUAUUAAACAGUAUUUAAAAAUCAAUAAACUGGCAGUUUCUUAUCAAGUGAAACCUGUAUUUAUAUUGUCCCUGGCAAUCCGUUACUAGGUAUUUCCAUGGAAAAGGAAUUGGCAAAUUAUGGCCAUGUGCCAUAUCUGGCCCACCUCCUGUUUCUAAAUAAAGUCUUCUUGGAACACAACUGCAUUCAUUCAUUUAUGUAUUGUAUAUGACUGCUUUCAUAUUACAAGAGUAGAGUAGGUAAAACAGAGAUCCUAUAGCCUAAAAUACAGACUAUUUAGUUCUUUACUGAUCCCUGCACUUGAGAAAUAACUUAGGUUCACAGAAAAUCUAAACACAGUUUAUAGCAGCUCAAUUCAUUAUGGCUAAAAAAUAGAAACAACCCAAAUGUCACUCAACAGGUUAAUGGAUACACAAACUGUGACAAAGACAUACGACUCAACAAUAAAAGCAAAUUAUCAAUGCAUACAAUAACUUGGGUGAUUCUCAAAGCAUUAUUCUGCAUGAAAGGAACCAGUCUCAAAAGGUUACAUGCUGUAAGAUUCCAUUAUAGGGAAGACAAACUGAUGAAGUCAGAGUAGUCGCCAGGAGUUAAAGGUAAAGGGAGAGACAAGGAAGGAAUAGGACAAGGAAGUUUUUGGGGUGAUGAAACCAUUCUAUGCACAUAAAGUGGUAGUGGUUACACUACUCUGUAUAUUUAUUAGAGUUCACAGAGCUGUAUACCAACCAAAGAUAAAUUUUAUUUCAUAAUAAUUUGAAAAAAAUAAAAAUCUUAUGGACUGGGAUAAUGAUUUAAAGAAAAACAAUAAACUAACAAGAAAACAGUCUCUAAAAAUUCAGGGCAAAGAAUAAGAGUUUGCCAAAGAAGAUCAGAUAAGAAAAAGUAGUCUAGGUCACUAUAUUCUCAGGUUUUAUUCCUGGUCUUACCAUUGAUUCAUUAUAAGGCAUUAAAUCAACAACCCAUUUCAGUAUUUCUCGAUGAUUUUUGCGCAUACGGUUUGACAGGUGGUAUCUAGGAGGAAUACAAAAAUCCUCCAAACAAUAUUUCCCCUGUCAAAUAUAACAUUCUACAUGAAGAAAUACUACAAUUCAACUUAUCUCAUAAUACUUCCAUUCUCCCUCCUGAUUAGUCAUAAAUAUAAAGGUGUGGUUUAUAGUAAAGCUGUCAGGUCUUUUCACACACAUUUUCUCACUCUGCUCUCAAAGCUCGUUCACAUUUCCAGCUGUCUAGAAAAUCUGGCCUCUUAUUCCAUACAUACACCAAAAGACUCUAUCACAUAUGUUUUCAUUCUAUACGUGGUCUGCAAUUUUCUUUCUGGCAACCAGACCUGCAGAUUGCCCAUGAGCAGACUGCAAACUGCUACCCUGAAUUCAUCAAAAGGUAAAUAUGCUAAAUACAAAACAAUUUUCAGGGAAAACAAGGGGUAUGGUUUAGUCCUUUUACAGAAUCAACAAUAAAAGCAACGUAAAUUAUAUAUUUUGUAAAUGUAAUAACAUAGAUUUCAAAAAAACAAACAAACAAUAAAAACUGAAAGAUCAAGAAUCCUGUGCCAGUAAGAACAUUCAGACAAACUGCUUUCAUUGUAUAUUGUUAAUAAACCAUAUCUCAAGUUAAAAUCGGAAAGAGAAUGCAGGAGUGACCACUAAUCUAUAAAUCAUUUAUAUCCACAUCAAAGAAAACAGAAAAAAAAUUUUGAGAAGAAAAAAACUUUAAGGGCAAAAAUAAAUUUUUCAUCAUGACAGCACAUUCAAAAGUCUUUAGUUUUUUGUGGUGAUUUUAAAAUGUCAACAAAUUCUUAGACACUCUUACCUUCAAAAGGAGGAAGGAGCCUAUCUCCCUCCUGAAAGAGAACUCUUUUCUAACAAAUACACUGUUGGGAGAAAAACAACCAAUUUCCAAGACUAGGUCAUUAAAAAAAUUCAAAUCCUAGCUCUGCCAUUUAUAAUCAUUACUCUUCCAGGUCCAUUGUCAAAAUUAGAGAUAACAUAUAUAAAGCCUUUUACUUAUUGCCAGGACAUUAGAAGCUUAACAGCUUCUAAACAACCAUUUAUAGUCCUCAAUAUCUCAUGGAAGAUGCGUAUUAUCAACAUUUAAAAAUGAAAAAAGUGGGGUGCCUGGGUGGUUAAGUUGGUUGAGUGGCUAACUUUUGGUUUCAGCUCUGGUUUGAUCUGAGGGUUGUGAGAUCGAGCCUCACUUGGGACUCCACACUUAGCACAGAGUCUGCAUGUGUUUCUCUCUCCCUUUGCCCCUCCUCCCCCUCUUAAAAAAAAACACUUUAAAAAUAAAAUAAAGAUGAAAAAAGUUAAUUAUGUUGUUAAAAGAAUGAAAGUCACAAACAGCUGAAGUCAAACCAAACUGCAAGGAGUAUAAAGACUUUAGGCAAAAUUCUCACUUUCUAUUAGGUUGAAUCAAAUGAAAUGCCAUUUUUAUUAGGUCAGAAGGGGUAGAGUACCAGCAACUAUAUGGUUAAACCUAAGAGUUAUAAAAAGAAAAUAUAGGUGACCAAGAAAUAUUAUUGAAGUGGCUUUUCUAAUUAUUAUAAACUAAAAAAAAUCAUAUGUCACAAGUUAUGGUAGAAGAAAAAUUGAAGCUAAGAUUGUUAUAUCAUGAUACAGUUUUUCUAUAAUCAUUUUGAUAUGUUAUUAACCUAGCCUCAUCUGAGUUCAAAUGAAAGUUAAAUUUAUUUGUAAAUAGUUCUAGCAUUCUCUAUCAGAAAGAUCACCUUGAGGCACUGAAAAGUGAAGGAUGUGACCCAGAACAAAGCCUUAAGAACAACUCAUAGAUUUUAGUUUCUAGUGGACUACAGACAUGAACAAUAGACCACUUUCUCCAAUUCAAACAAAAGAUGGGUCUUAUAAAAUCAGAAGAAUGACUGGAAAAUUAGCACCUUGAGAAAAACAAAUUCCCAUUCAUCUGAGAGCCAGAUACUAGAUUAGUCACCAUGAAGUAAACACAGAGAAAACAAUGGUAUUUUAAGGGCGUCCAUGGUAAAAAGGAGAAAACACUAUGCAUUACAAACUCCUUUUAUAUUUAUUACUUUAAGCGGCAAAUUACUCUGGCUUAAACUCAAUAGUAAUGGAAAUAUUUCUAAGUAUCUUACUUAUUUAUGACACUGAAAUUCUAGGUACUCAUUUAAUCCUCAAAAAACCCUAUGAGAUAAGUACUACUAUUACCCACAUUUUACAGAAGAGAAUAUUGAGGCAUAGAGAGACUGAAUAAGUAUCCACUGUCACAAACAAGUGGUAAAGUCUAGAUUUAAUCAGGCUAUUUGGCUCUAUAGUUAAUGCUCUUAAUAAGUUCAUUAUGUUACCUCUCAUAUUCAACUAACUUCAUGAUGUUACCUCUUAAACUUCCUAGGCAUGGGUCUAAAUACAGUCAGUUUUCUGGUACCAACUCUGACAACCAAGGAAGAGGACUAAAUUAAACUAUUAUUCUCAGGGUGCCUGAAUGGCUCAGUCAGUUAAGCAUCUAACUCUUGAGUGUGGCUC